RNAcentral lists this ribosomal RNA (363 nucleotides) under uncultured eukaryote. RNAcentral describes it as "SSU rRNA". It matches the Rfam family "Eukaryotic small subunit ribosomal RNA", at positions 567 to 944 of the family's 1831-position model. The record is from RNAcentral.
CCAGCAGCCGCGGUAAUUCCAGCUCCAAUAGUGUAUACUAAAGUUGUUGCAGUUAAAAAGCUCGUAGUUGGACAUCGGAAGGUGAGGUGUUGGUCUACACACAUAGUGUACGAACUGACACCUUGCUUCCUUUCUUCUGAUAACUCUUUUGAGUUUCAGAUCAUUUACUUUGAGUAAAUUAGAGUGUUCAAAGCAGGCGUAACCUAGCCUUUGAAUAUAAUUAGCAUGGGAUAAUGAAAUAAGACUUUUUGCCUUAUUCUCGUUGGUUCUUAAGGCUAAAGUAAUGAUUAAUAGGGAUAGUUGGGGCCAUUAGUAUUAAAUCGUCAGAGGUGAAAUUCUAAGAUCGAUUUAAGACUAACUAGU